This 261-nucleotide long non-coding RNA is filed under the name Glycine max (soybean). Its description in RNAcentral is "long non-coding RNA (GMAX_LNC001419)". The record is from RNAcentral. Lineage: Eukaryota; Viridiplantae; Streptophyta; Magnoliopsida; Fabales; Fabaceae.
GUGGUUUGCUUCCAUGUUUAGCUUUGUAAUCUCAGUACUGAUGAUGGGACAAUGACAUGUAGAGACAUCCCGUACAAGUGCAACUGUUACACCGCUUUCAGGUUUGUCCACACCAUCUUUUCACCUUCUAUCUUCUUUCCCACAUCCCAUUUUCUUUUUCCCCCUUCAAAGGGUACCCACACUUCACUCUGACUGAUUUGUUAGGCAUGUACAGUCUUCCUUGCCAUGUUAACGAUAAACGGUAACCCUUUUGCAGUUUGG